This 83-nucleotide small nuclear RNA is filed under the name Suricata suricatta (meerkat). RNAcentral's name for it is "U2 spliceosomal RNA (ENSSSUG00005021482.1)". It matches the Rfam family "U2 spliceosomal RNA". Rfam says of the family: U2 is a small nuclear RNA (snRNA) component of the spliceosome (involved in pre-mRNA splicing). Complementary binding between U2 snRNA (in an area lying towards the 5' end but 3' to hairpin I) and the branchpoint sequence (BPS) of the intron results the bulging out of an unpaired adenosine, on the BPS, which initiates a nucleophilic attack at the intronic 5' splice site, thus starting the first of two transesterification reactions that mediate splicing. Lineage: Eukaryota; Metazoa; Chordata; Mammalia; Carnivora; Herpestidae. The record is from Rfam by way of RNAcentral.
AUCACUUCUCGGCCUUUUGGCUAAGAUCAAGUGUAGGAUCUGUUUUAAUGAUAGUGCAACAAAGGUAAAAAAUAAAACCCAAA